Molecule: ribosomal RNA, 254 nt
Filed under: uncultured bacterium
Lineage: Bacteria
Description: partial 16S ribosomal RNA
Rfam family: Bacterial small subunit ribosomal RNA
Source: RNAcentral
UACGUAGGGCGCAAGCGUUAUCCGGAAUUAUUGGGCGUAAAGAGCUCGUAGGCGGUUUGUCGCGUCUGCCGUGAAAGUCCGGGGCUCAACUCCGGAUCUGCGGUGGGUACGGGCAGACUAGAGUGAUGUAGGGGAGACUGGAAUUCCUGGUGUAGCGGUGAAAUGCGUAGAUAUCGGGAGGAACACCAGUGGCGAAGGCGACUACCUGGCCUGUUUCUUGACGCUGAGGCGCGAAAGCUAGGGGAGCAAACGGG